Long non-coding RNA from Papaver somniferum (opium poppy), 7465 nucleotides. RefSeq lists it as uncharacterized. The transcript is spliced from 12 exons. The record is from RefSeq and is a predicted model, not a curated record. NCBI's taxonomy places the organism in Eukaryota, Viridiplantae, Streptophyta, Magnoliopsida, Ranunculales, Papaveraceae.
CCGAGUCUAAAAGCUUAUAUUCUCUUUCUUCCUCAUUGAUCGCCUUUCUUCUCUCCCGCAUGAACACAAGAUUAUUGCUUCUCUGUUUUUCUUUUCGUCGAUUCUCCUUUCUGUGUGACGUGGGUUACCAUAAUAUAGAUUUAUAUGUGUUUCAGUUGAAUCGGAAAGACCUCAUUGAGAGGAAUAGAAGAGGAAGUUGAAUCAGAAAGACGAUUGAGAGGAAAGGAAGAAGAAUGUAAACAUAUAGAAAACUUUGAUCAUCCUGUCUAUGGCUCAAUGCUUGAUGUCUUUCUGAAGGGUGUGUAGAAAAUUCGUGUAGAGUUGCCAGAUGCGUAUCCAUACAAGUCUAUAAAAUUUCAUCUCAAUGUUAAUGAUUUGUGAGCAAACUUACAAAUGCAUCCAAUGUCCAAUGGGUAUAUUGUUACAAACAGCUAAAGUCUUCAAGGAUAGAAUUGUCGGACUCUUCCAUUUGAUUCAAUUGAGCCCGUGACAUUGAAAAGCAUUUUGAGCCCUAUGUUAAGUAAGAUGUGUGGCAGGGUGUCUCUGUUGAAUGACAUCAGUAUGAGAGCGAGCAAGGUGGUAGGGACCAUCAAGCAACAGGGAUCGAAGCCAGACCAUGGGCGAUAUCCAGGGUAAUAAGGAUAAGCAAAGCGGCAGAAAUACCACUCGCUCACCAGUUUGCUGCUAAUUCAAUGGUUGUUCACCAAUUCGUCGCUCACCUAUUUGUCGUACCCGUUCCCCUGCUGGUAGUUCAACCGUUCAUCGAUAGCUUGCUAGACGCUUACCAGUUUUUUGUUCAGCUUAUACUCGCUCAUUUGUUCCCUACUCGCUCAUUUGUUCCCCAUUCUCUAUUUGUUCACUUUCGAAGCUCAACAUUCCUGGGAAAACCAAGGCCUCCGGCCUGCAAUUUGUGGAGUGUAAGAUUGAAAGUCACCCUUCGGGAGACGUCUUACUGGGUGCAGACUGUAACAUUAAAGAGUAUGUGAAUGGCCCGUCGGCCAUCGUAGUCGCGGAUGAGUCGACCUUUGUGAAGAAAUGUCAAGGAGCAUACCUUAAUCUUGAUGUACCCGAACUUCAAAGAAUGCGAGAGAGUUGGCUAUGCACUCAUCUUGGUCUAUUAAGGCAAUUGCACGGUAGGACUUAGCCAAUGUGUCUUCCCGGCUUUAUCCAGGUGGGAUCUACUUUGGUGCAAUACUAGAUGCCAAUGGUAUCAGAGAAGGUAUUUACCCUCUGCGGAACUUAUAUACUGCUGUUUAUAAUAAGUGAAUUUAUGGAUUCAUAUUUCCUUUGGUUUUAGCUUAGUAGGGUAUCAUUAAAAACCUCAAAGAACGUUAUAUACUGCUGUUUACAAUAAUUGGAUUUACGGACUCAUAUUUCCUUUGGUUUUAUCUUAUUACGUUUUACGAUGCCUUUAUUAGUUCCUUACACAUGCUACUAGAAGCUUAUUGUUUGCUUACAUUGCGUCUCAACUUAAUAUGAUGACAUGAGUGAUUACAAUUUCGUUAAUCACAUCUUUGAUUAUUGCGUAAUCUUGGUUCAGGCACUGUUUGGCUGUACUGACACAUUACAUACUUUAAAUUGUUUUACCAAUAUCCAUCUUACCUCAAAGGUAUUGUUUGCAUUACAUUGUUACUUCUUUUACAGUGACAUAUACUUUUUUUUUUUACAAUGACAUAUUUUACUGAACCUUCCUCAUCAGUUUGGAAGUCAUGGUUAUAGACCAUGUAACAUGAUCUGUUACAAAUCUGAUCUGAAGAUUAACGUAAAACACUCAAAUGUCAAGGCAUGGAAAUCUGAAGUGUCAGUUUUUGUUGUUGAAUGGAAGGUAUCUUUGCUGCUCCAAAAUACCACUGCCAACACGGAUCCAUCUGUUCUUUUUAUUUCUCUAUUUUGUUUUCAGUAACGACAAUACCUCAACUUUUACAUACACUGUACCUAUAUACUUUUCGGUCCAUUGUUGUGAUUGGUAACUUUUGGGUGCUUAGAAGGUUUCACAUUAAUGUAUAAGAUGACCUUGGACUUGAUCACCUUAAAAGCGUGUAUGAAUCAUUUCUUGCUAAUUAAGAAGAUGAUACUUUUUUAAAUUAGAAAGGAGAAGUCAACCUAAUGGUAGUAGCUGUAUUAGGAGCAAUAUUGGAAAAUGUAGUUAGGCUCUUCUUGAAAGAAGAAGUCCAAUCAUUUAGAUGGACUUGAAAUCAAUGGUUUGGAAGGGGCAGGUAAAACGAUUAUACCUAAUUCUUAAUGUAAAGCAUUACUCAGCCAAUGUUUGAAACAGAGAAAGCUAGAAUUUAUCAUGAAUUUUUUGUUAGUGAACAUGUCUGCCACAGAACCUGUUUCAGAAGUGAUUCCACUCAGGUGCAUGUAAUAAUGCACAAACUGUAGAUGUUUAGGAUUAUGAUCCAAUGCCUUCUAAAAUGCUGACGAUCAUAUUUUGUAAAUAGUGUAUUUUACCCAAUAUUUCAGUGAGCCUGUGACAUACUCAUCUUAGUUAUAGGCCAAAAUGAGGAUAAAAUUUCUACUCUUUCCAAUCUUGAGAAAAUGUUAAUAGGUAAUGUUUUUUCCGUAUGCUUGCAUAUGUUUAAGCUUAUUUUGAUCUCUUUUCUUAGAUACAAUGAUCGUAUGUACGGGUUAAGACUGGAAUAAUUAGUUCUUCUGAUAGUGAGUUGUACUUUAAAAUGACUUCAAUUUUACUUCGUAGAUGAGUAAGAUCUUUGUUUUUGUCGAGUGAUUGGUCGAGGUCAAUCCAUCAGAGAUGCUGAACUUUAGGCGAUGCUACCAAUAGCUUGGAGCUUCGGUUUUCGGUACUUAUCGUCGUCUGACUCUAGCUAGGAAAACAUAGUUCUAUAUAGUAUUUUCUAAUGUAUUUUUGAAGAUUGAAUCACUUCCGCUGGAAAUUUAAGGAACCUUUAGGGCUUUGUAUGUACCUACAUCAAAAAAUAUUUAUAACUCUUUCUUCCAAUUGUGUUUGGCCAUUUCUAUUGGGUGGCAGUACCAGUGUACUAUAAAAAAUCUGCCAUCUUGGAAGGAGAAGACUUGAAGAUAACGGGAUUGCAUUCUCCUUUUUAGAAAGACUUUGCCGCCAGAAUAAUUUCUUAUCAGCGACUUUGGGUGCUCCCUGAAGAGAAAGAUGACUUUUGCAGGAUUCAAUAUACGCAUCUGCCAACACUGUUAAACCUAUCGACAUGGCCGGAAGUAUCAUGCCCGUUUGCUUUGUAUGCUGGGCUUGGACUGUAAUUGAAGAAAUCUAGAAAAAUUACUUUUUCGUGAGGACAAUGAGCUGCAAAGCAUCUGAUCAGGGACCACUCUCAAGCAUGUGGAAUAAGCUUAAUCCCAAGGUAUUUAAGUGUCCACUUAUUAUUGAGUCUUAGUUGUAAGUCGGUGAGUUGCACAGCUUUUGCUAAGAUGUUGAGCAAAUAAGACAGGGUCCAAAUUGUUAACAUUUUCUUGGCUACAAGCUCUUUCAAGGUGGUUGAAUCAGCUUUCAGGAGUUCCACAAUGUACUUUGUAAAAGGUGGAAGGUUGGCUAUUCAGGACUUUGUUUCCUGAGAUGAAUGCUUACGUGUGUUAACAAGUAAGCCGAAGGUAAGUCCUCUGCUCGAUAUCCCUUUGUGCCUUUGAACCAUUUGCACGCAAGUGUCAUUAUAUUAAACCCCACUUGCUAUCUUACCUCAAAUGGAAGAGCGCAUGGUUCUCAACCAUGUAGAUGUGGAUUCGACUCCCACGGAUGGCACGGUUCGUUAAGUAGGCUAAAACUUUACAUGCUUCCGAUGGCAAUAUUAUGCAGUAAACAUGCUUAAAUUCAAACAUAUAUCUUGGUAAUCAUAGCAAACGAACGCCAACAAUUUUAGAAGUAGCAAAUAUAGAAUCUUCGCUUCAUUUUUCAAUAAUGAAUUGCGAAUGAAAUAUUCCAGCCCACAAUUGUCCAAUAAAUCUUACAUGUUGCAUUAAGGUAAAAUUACUAAUUUUAGCCCUUUCCUGAAAUUGAAAAAUGAGAUGCUUCUGUAGGAAUACGUAUACAGUAUACCAAUAUUUUUUAGUGUUUUGCUCUCAGGUGGUAACAAGAAAAGGUCAUGGAUCUUGAGACAAACAUGUCGGUCUAAGAUAAAUAUCUCCAACAGACUUUAUAUUAAAUACACACUUAACAUAAGUAUAUUUCCAUGCCAACAUUUGAAACGCAUGUGCCAAUUUGUGCGGUAUUGGUGCGGCUUAUAAAAUGUUGAAAUUUGUAUACAUCAUCCCUUAAUUACACAAAUUGAAUGAAAAAAAAACACCAAACUAAAAUCAUACCUUGAUCCAUAAUUAUGCAUUUAGAAAAACAUGGUAAGAUAUUAAUAGGAUAGGGUUGGUUGCGAUUUUAUACCUUUUUAUUAUUAUAAUUAUAAUUUUAAUAUUUUUUUAAUGAAUGGACAUAGGUCAAGGGUAAUUAAGUGUUAAAUCCUACCGGCUGAAUUCGGGGUUCAUUUUGGCUAAUCAUGGUUUAGAUGGAAAAACGAUGGAAGUAUAACAAGCAUCAGGGGUACUUUCUUUGAAGUAUCUUUAUUAGAGGUGAUUAAUAACCAAAAAUGUGUGAAUUGACUUAUCAUGUGAAAGGGGUAAAAAUAAAAUAAACUACGCUAGACUUGAUGAAGUGGAAGAGUAUGUUAGGAAAGUUAAAAAAAAUGUGGGGUUUCCCUGGAUUUUGUGUUACAAUACAUGGAUCAGAAAUGAUUAACUCACCGAAAAUAAAAAACUGUGAGAAUCACCGUGUGAGAGGGAUGGUGGGGCCCACUCGUACCCUACCCACAGAACGCUUAGUUGUGUCCGUGCGAUUCCCUUUCGGUGAAAUUGACGGUGUAGAAUUCGGUGAGUGUAUAGUCGUUCUAUAUGGAUUGGUUGGUACAUCAAAGAAGCUCCUAGGCUGAGAUGAUCUCUCUUGCCAUUUAGGACAACGGUUUAUCCCCAUUAAGUAAUGAGCGGAAGUUCAUUCAGAUUCUAUAGGCUGUUUUGCGGGAGCUUAAAUUUAUGCUCUUGACGAGGUUAUUUGAAGUUCAUUUCAUUAACUACUUUAAAAGAGAUAGUGUAAAUGGGUAUUGAAGCUUUUGGUGGGAAGAAGAAUAAAGAAAGCUUCCAAGGUGUGCUAGAAAUCUAGAAUAUAAGUAUUGGAGGAGUUUGCAAAACAGGGAAUACUAAACAUGCAAUGACUAAAUUAAUUUAUUAGAGUAGAUUGUUUCUUGAUGAGAUUACACUCAUUCCAUCGAUUCAUGGGUGCUACAUGAUAUGUGAUUUGGGAAAGGUAUUCCAGUUCUAAAACAUGUAGUGUUCCAAAUCAUAUUAGAAAUACUUCUUCAUGGGAGUGUGAGCAGAGCAUAUGUAAACAGGGUUGUGAGGCUCCCUCAUGUACACGUUGUUCUUAAGAGAGAGAGAUGUUAGUCCUAUUUUGCAGAGCACCUGUACUAGAAGGAGGCCAAACCGAAACUCAACGUGUCCUCGGAACUACAAGUCCUGGCACGGAUGGGGAUCAGAAUUUUGUGAAAAACAUAAUUCACAAAAAUUAUGGUUAAUUUGAUAUAUAUAUAUAUAUAAAGAAAAAAAUUAUGGUUAAUUUGAUUAGCGUCAUUUUCUCCGCAAACUCAAACAACGAUGAAUUUCAUAUUUUGAUGAUACGUUCCUCUUAUAAGACUCUACAUUCCUAGAAAAAAUGAACACAAUUCGAAAUACCAAAUCUCACCAUCUACCGAUCUUAAUUUCAAUCGUUAACUUUUAAUGGAUGGUAUUCAAAGGGGUAGAUGGUGGUGUUAUAUGUCUCGAAUUGUACUCAUUUUUGGGAGGAAUGUAGAGUCUCAUAAGAGAAACGUAUCAUCAAAAUUAUAGAUUUAAAUUCAUUGUUGUUUGGGUUGUGCCGAAAAAAUGAUGCAAAUCAUAUAUAAUAGUGUCCAUCUAAGAGUGUCCCUGGAUCAUCCCUCUAUGUAUACCUAUAUACAUAUAUAAAGAAAAACAAUGAAAAAUUUAAUUAAUAUUUCUAUUUUAGUAAGUAUAUAAGUUGCAUGUCAUGAAGAUUAUAUGAACUAUUAAUAAUUACUUGGAUUUGGGAUAAUAUGAACUAUUAAUAAUUGCUUCUAGAAUUUAUUCAAGUAUAUUGUUCUACCCUCAUGUUUUUAGUUGGAUGUCAUUUUCUAUAUUAUUCUUGACAGGCUAACAUAUACAUCGAGUAGUUUAUGAUGUAGCCGAUGAUUGAGUUGGACUCAUUAGAAGCUAUCAGCGGUAGGUCUUUGGAAAAGGGAAGAUGAUCUACUACUCUAUAAGUCAUGAUACUAUUGAUCCAGUUUUCUUUUGGACGUAUCUUUAUUUCAUUUUAGCUGAGCGAGCGCAUUCCGAGAAAGAGUCUCAACUAUGAAGAUGUACAAUAAGAGUAAAGGGAGAAACGAGAAAUUAGAUGUAUUUUGCUUUGUGGUAUUAAAGUUGGAUUAUCAGAUGGCUAAUAAACUCAACAAUGGUUGGUUGGUUGGAGACAUAUACGCCAACUAAUGUAUGUAAAAUAGAACACAUAACAAUUUGAUAUGGAGCCUACAUAUUUAGUUGCUAACACGUCCCUUAUACAAAACGUCCAAACUAAUAUUUAGUAUUAUUAAGUUUACCAUUAUUUUUUAAUCUUUACUUAUGUAUUUAUAUGUGCUAGAGAUCAAUCACAUGCAUAUCCAUUUCUAUACAUAUUAAUUGCCGACUAAGUUUUCACGUUGAACGAUUUGGAUGUUUGCAUUUGAACAGAUGAUAACAAUUUAGAUACAUAAAUUGUGGACACCACCAAAAAAAUCAGAUAGUUAAUUACUGUGAACAUAUAUAGGUGUAUGUCCAUAUCAUAAAGCAAUGGAUAUCACAUGUUCAUAUGAUGGAUCAUUAGAUAGAUUGGUGAAACACAUACUAAAAAAAUAUAAAAUUAGGUCUCAGUAGUAAUUUUAAUUAGUUUGCAAAUGUUAAACAAGAUUUAACUUUAACUGUUAUGUAUUUAACUUUAAAUAAUAGGUCAUACUCAUCAUAUGAAAAAUUCUAAGCAUAUAAGGUGAUAUUUCAGAUAAUGUAAUAAUACGACUUGGGCGGUUAUGGUAACGAAAGACAGGGUUUACGACUGCAUAUAAACAUGACAAAGCUAAGAAAUAACAAUCUUAUUAAGUUAGAAAACAUAAACAAAUAUUGAGAAAAUGUAGAUUUUAAUCUUUAUCUCAUCUAAACGUUAGAUAUUUAAGAGGGUGGUUUAGAGUCAAAGAACAUAAUAAGCAAUACAUAAAUAAAUAUAUAAAACAAAAUCAGGAAAAUGAAAUUUGAUAGGAAAUAAAAGAGAAUCGAGUUAAAGGAGGCCAAAAACGACCAACCGAGCUAGAGGAUACUAAAGAACAAGGCCAACCAAGUUAAAGGAGGCCAAAAAAUUGUUAAAUAAAUUGGAAGAGGGGCUUGAUACUCAAUCAUGUAAUGGAAACACAUGAUAAACUUA